UACGUAGGGUGCGAGCGUUAAUCGGAAUUACUGGGCGUAAAGCGUGCGCAGGCGGUUUUGUAAGCCAGAUGUGAAAGCCCCGGGCUUAACCUGGGAAUGGCAUUUGGGACUGCAAGGCUGGAGUGCGGCAGAGGAGACUGGAAUUCCUGGUGUAGCAGUGAAAUGCGUAGAUAUCAGGAGGAAUACCGAUGGCGAAGGCAGGUCUCUGGGCUGACACUGACGCUCAUGCACGAAAGCGUGGGGAGCAAACAGG
This 253-nucleotide ribosomal RNA is filed under the name uncultured bacterium. Its description in RNAcentral is "partial 16S ribosomal RNA". It matches the Rfam family "Bacterial small subunit ribosomal RNA", at positions 524 to 776 of the family's 1533-position model. The record is from RNAcentral.